AGUGGGGAAUAUUGCACAAUGGGGGAAACCCUGAUGCAGCAACGCCGCGUGGAGGAUGACACAUUUCGGUGCGUAAACUCCUUUUAUAUAGGAAGAUAAUGACGGUACUAUAUGAAUAAGCGCCGGCUAACUCCGUGCCAGCAGCCGCGGUAAUACGGAGGGCGCAAGCGUUACUCGGAAUCACUGGGCGUAAAGAGCGUGUAGGCGGGUAGAUAAGUUUGAAGUGAAAUCCUAUGGCUCAACCAUAGAACUGCUUUGAAAACUGUCUACCUAGAGUAUGGGAGAGGUAGAUGGAAUUUCUGGUGUAGGGGUAAAAUCCGUAGAGAUCAGAAGGAAUACCGAUUGCGAAGGCGAUCUACUGGAACAUUACUGACGCUGAGACGCGAAAGCGUGGGGAGCAAA
RNAcentral lists this ribosomal RNA (402 nucleotides) under uncultured Arcobacter sp. Its description in RNAcentral is "bacterial SSU rRNA". It matches the Rfam family "Bacterial small subunit ribosomal RNA", at positions 353 to 772 of the family's 1533-position model. Lineage: Bacteria; Pseudomonadati; Campylobacterota; Epsilonproteobacteria; Campylobacterales; Arcobacteraceae. The record is from RNAcentral.